GAUUAAGUUAUUAAGGGCGCACGGUGGAUGCCUUGGCACUAGAAGCCGAUGAAGGACGUUACUAACGACGAUAUGCUUUGGGGAGCUGUAAGUAAGCUUUGAUCCAGAGAUUUCCGAAUGGGGAAACCCAGCAUGAGUUAUGUCAUGUUAUCGAUAUGUGAAUACAUAGCAUAUCAGAAGGCACACCCGGAGAACUGAAACAUCUUAGUACCCGGAGGAAGAGAAAGAAAAUUCGAUUCCCUUAGUAGCGGCGAGCGAAACGGGAAGAGCCCAAACCAACAAGCUUGCUUGUUGGGGUUGUAGGACACUCUAUACGGAGUUACAAAGGACGACAUUAGACGAAUCAUCUGGAAAGAUGAAUCAAAGAAGGUAAUAAUCCUGUAGUCGAAAAUGUUGUCUCUCUUGAGUGGAUCCUGAGUACGACGGAGCACGUGAAAUUCCGUCGGAAUCUGGGAGGACCAUCUCCUAAGGCUAAAUACUCUCUAGUGACCGAUAGUGAACCAGUACCGUGAGGGAAAGGUGAAAAGCACCCCGGAAGGGGAGUGAAAUAGAACCUGAAACCGUGUGCUUACAAGUAGUCAGAGCCCGUUAAUGGGUGAUGGCGUGCCUUUUGUAGAAUGAACCGGCGAGUUACGAUUUGAUGCAAGGUUAAGCAGUAAAUGUGGAGCCGUAGCGAAAGCGAGUCUGAAUAGGGCGUUUAGUAUUUGGUCGUAGACCCGAAACCAGGUGAUCUACCCUUGGUCAGGUUGAAGUUCAGGUAACACUGAAUGGAGGACCGAACCGACUUACGUUGAAAAGUGAGCGGAUGAACUGAGGGUAGCGGAGAAAUUCCAAUCGAACCUGGAGAUAGCUGGUUCUCUCCGAAAUAGCUUUAGGGCUAGCCUCAAGUGAUGAUUAUUGGAGGUAGAGCACUGUUUGGACGAGGGGCCCCUCUCGGGUUACCGAAUUCAGACAAACUCCGAAUGCCAAUUAAUUUAACUUGGGAGUCAGAACAUGGGUGAUAAGGUCCGUGUUCGAAAGGGAAACAGCCCAGACCACCAGCUAAGGUCCCAAAAUAUAUGUUAAGUGGAAAAGGAUGUGGCGUUGCCCAGACAACUAGGAUGUUGGCUUAGAAGCAGCCAUCAUUUAAAGAGUGCGUAAUAGCUCACUAGUCGAGUGACACUGCGCCGAAAAUGUACCGGGGCUAAACAUAUUACCGAAGCUGUGGAUUGUCCUUUGGACAAUGGUAGGAGAGCGUUCUAAGGGCGUUGAAGCAUGAUCGUAAGGACAUGUGGAGCGCUUAGAAGUGAGAAUGCCGGUGUGAGUAGCGAAAGACGGGUGAGAAUCCCGUCCACCGAUUGACUAAGGUUUCCAGAGGAAGGCUCGUCCGCUCUGGGUUAGUCGGGUCCUAAGCUGAGGCCGACAGGCGUAGGCGAUGGAUAACAGGUUGAUAUUCCUGUACCACCUAUAAUCGUUUUAAUCGAUGGGGGGACGCAGUAGGAUAGGCGAAGCGUGCGAUUGGAUUGCACGUCUAAGCAGUAAGGCUGAGUAUUAGGCAAAUCCGGUACUCGUUAAGGCUGAGCUGUGAUGGGGAGAAGACAUUGUGUCUUCGAGUCGUUGAUUUCACACUGCCGAGAAAAGCCUCUAGAUAGAAAAUAGGUGCCCGUACCGCAAACCGACACAGGUAGUCAAGAUGAGAAUUCUAAGGUGAGCGAGCGAACUCUCGUUAAGGAACUCGGCAAAAUGACCCCGUAACUUCGGGAGAAGGGGUGCUCUUUAGGGUUAACGCCCAGAAGAGCCGCAGUGAAUAGGCCCAAGCGACUGUUUAUCAAAAACACAGGUCUCUGCUAAACCGUAAGGUGAUGUAUAGGGGCUGACGCCUGCCCGGUGCUGGAAGGUUAAGAGGAGUGGUUAGCUUCUGCGAAGCUACGAAUCGAAGCCCCAGUAAACGGCGGCCGUAACUAUAACGGUCCUAAGGUAGCGAAAUUCCUUGUCGGGUAAGUUCCGACCCGCACGAAAGGCGUAACGAUUUGGGCACUGUCUCAACGAGAGACUCGGUGAAAUCAUAGUACCUGUGAAGAUGCAGGUUACCCGCGACAGGACGGAAAGACCCCGUGGAGCUUUACUGUAGCCUGAUAUUGAAAUUCGGCACAGCUUGUACAGGAUAGGUAGGAGCCUUUGAAACGUGAGCGCUAGCUUACGUGGAGGCGCUGGUGGGAUACUACCCUAGCUGUGUUGGCUUUCUAACCCGCACCACUUAUCGUGGUGGGAGACAGUGUCAGGCGGGCAGUUUGACUGGGGCGGUCGCCUCCUAAAAGGUAACGGAGGCGCUCAAAGGUUCCCUCAGAAUGGUUGGAAAUCAUUCAUAGAGUGUAAAGGCAUAAGGGAGCUUGACUGCGAGACCUACAAGUCGAGCAGGGUCGAAAGACGGACUUAGUGAUCCGGUGGUUCCGCAUGGAAGGGCCAUCGCUCAACGGAUAAAAGCUACCCCGGGGAUAACAGGCUUAUCUCCCCCAAGAGUUCACAUCGACGGGGAGGUUUGGCACCUCGAUGUCGGCUCAUCGCAUCCUGGGGCUGUAGUCGGUCCCAAGGGUUGGGCUGUUCGCCCAUUAAAGCGGUACGCGAGCUGGGUUCAGAACGUCGUGAGACAGUUCGGUCCCUAUCCGUCGUGGGCGUAGGAAAUUUGAGAGGAGCUGUCCUUAGUACGAGAGGACCGGGAUGGACAUACCUCUGGUGUACCAGUUGUCGUGCCAACGGCAUAGCUGGGUAGCUAUGUGUGGACGGGAUAAGUGCUGAAAGCAUCUAAGCAUGAAGCCCCCCUCAAGAUGAGAUUUCCCAACUUCGGUUAUAAGAUUCCUCAAAGAUGAUGAGGUUAAUAGGUUCGAGGUGGAAGCAUGGUGACAUGUGGAGCUGACGAAUACUAAUCGAUCGAAGACUUAAUCAA
This 2923-nucleotide ribosomal RNA is filed under the name Staphylococcus aureus. RNAcentral's name for it is "23S ribosomal RNA". It matches the Rfam family "Bacterial large subunit ribosomal RNA". The record is from RNAcentral. Lineage: Bacteria; Bacillati; Bacillota; Bacilli; Caryophanales; Staphylococcaceae.